AACGAACGCUGGCGGCGUGCCUAAGACAUGCAAGUCGUGCGAGAAAGCACCUUCCGGGUGUGAGUACAGCGGCGCACGGGUGAGUAACGCGUGGGCAACCUGCCUUCGGGUUCGGGACAACCCCGGGAAACUGGGGCUAAUACCGGAUGAGACCACGAGCUCCUCGGAGCUUGCGGAAAAAGAUGGCCUCUCCUUGGAAGCUAUUGCCUGAAGAUGGGCCCGCGUCCCAUUAGCUUGUUGGUGAGGUAACGGCUCACCAAGGCGACGAUGGGUAGCUGGUCUGAGAGGACGAUCAGCCACACUGGAACUGAGACACGGUCCAGACUCCUACGGGAGGCAGCAGUCGGGAAUUUUGGGCAAUGGGGGCAACCCUGACCCAGCAACGCCGCGUGAGGGAUGAAGGCCCUCGGGUCGUAAACCUCUGUCAGGAGGGAAGAACGGCCCCCGGUGCGAAUAGUGCCGGGGGAUUGACGGUACCUCCAAAGGAAGCGCCGGCUAACUCCGUG
This 506-nucleotide ribosomal RNA is filed under the name uncultured bacterium. Its description in RNAcentral is "bacterial SSU rRNA". It matches the Rfam family "Bacterial small subunit ribosomal RNA", at positions 28 to 507 of the family's 1533-position model. The record is from RNAcentral.